This 468-nucleotide ribosomal RNA is filed under the name uncultured bacterium. Its description in RNAcentral is "partial 16S ribosomal RNA". It matches the Rfam family "Bacterial small subunit ribosomal RNA", at positions 28 to 507 of the family's 1533-position model. The record is from RNAcentral.
GAUGAACGCUGACAGAAUGCUUAACACAUGCAAGUCAACUUGAAUUUGGGUUUUUUAACUUAGAUUUGGGUGGCGGACGGGUGAGUAACGCGUAAAGAACUUGCCUCACAGCUAGGGACAACAUUUGGAAACGAAUGCUAAUACCUGAUAUUAUGAUUAUAAGGCAUCUUAGAAUUAUGAAAGCUAUAUGCGCUGUGAGAGAGCUUUGCGUCCCAUUAGCUAGUUGGAGAGGUAACGGCUCACCAAGGCGAUGAUGGGUAGCCGGCCUGAGAGGGUGAACGCCCACAAGGGGACUGAGACACGGCCCUUACUCCUACGGGAGGCAGCAGUGGGGAAUAUUGGACAAUGGACCAAGAGUCUGAUCCAGCAAUUCUGUGUGCACGAUGACGUUUUUCGGAAUGUAAAGUGCUUUCAGUUGGGAAGAAAAAAAUGACGGUACCAACAGAAGAAGUGACGGCUAAAUACGUG